UACGUAGGGUGCAAGCGUUAAUCGGAAUUACUGGGCGUAAAGCGUGCGCAGGCGGCUUUGCAAGACAGAUGUGAAAUCCCCGGGCUUAACCUGGGAACUGCAUUUGUGACUGCAUGGCUGGAGUGCGGCAGAGGGGGAUGGAAUUCCGCGUGUAGCAGUGAAAUGCGUAGAUAUGCGGAGGAACACCGGUGGCGAAGGCGAGUCCCUGGACAUCUCCUGACACUGAGGCACGAAAGCUAGGGGAGCAAACAGG
Molecule: ribosomal RNA, 253 nt
Filed under: uncultured bacterium
Lineage: Bacteria
Description: partial 16S ribosomal RNA
Rfam family: Bacterial small subunit ribosomal RNA
Source: RNAcentral